GACGAACGCUGGCGGCGUGCUUAACACAUGCAAGUCGAACGGAAAGGCCCUGCUUUUGUGGGUUGCUCGAGUGGCGAACGGGUGAGUAACACGUGAGUAACCUGCCCUUGACUUUGGGAUAACUUCAGGAAACUGGGGCUCAUACCGGAUAGGAGCUCCUGCUGCAUGGUGGGCGUUGGAAAGUUUCGGCGGUUGGGGAUGGACUCGCGGCUUAUCAGCUUGUUGGUGGGGUAGUGGCUUACCAAGGCUUUGACGGGUAGCCGGCCUGAGAGGGUGACCGGCCACAUUGGGACUGAGAUACGGCCCAGACUCCUAAGGGAGGCAGCAGUGGGGAAUAUUGCACAAUGGGCGGAAGCCUGAUGCAGCAACGCCGCGUGCGGGAUGACGGCCUUAGGGUUGUAAACCGCUUUCGCCUGUGACGAAGCGUGAGUGACGGUAAUGUGUAAAGAAGCACCGGCUAACUACGUG
Molecule: ribosomal RNA, 468 nt
Filed under: uncultured bacterium
Lineage: Bacteria
Description: partial 16S ribosomal RNA
Rfam family: Bacterial small subunit ribosomal RNA
Source: RNAcentral